Molecule: ribosomal RNA, 253 nt
Filed under: uncultured bacterium
Lineage: Bacteria
Description: partial 16S ribosomal RNA
Rfam family: Bacterial small subunit ribosomal RNA
Source: RNAcentral
UACAUGGGGUGCAAACGUUGCUCGGAAUCAUUGGGCGUAAAGCGCGCGUAGGCGGUUACUUACGUCGGGUGUGAAAGCCCUCGGCUUAACUGAGGAAGUGCAUCCGAAACUGAGUAGCUAGAGUACGAAAGAGGGUCGCGGAAUUCCCGGUGUAGAGGUGAAAUUCGUAGAUAUCGGGAGGAACACCGGUGGCGAAGGCGGCGACCUGGGUCGAGACUGACGCUGAGGCGCGAAAGCGUGGGGAGCAAACAGG